CCUGGAGAAGAUUGGAGGAAUUCCUGGAGGAAUGUUGCAUCCCUGAAGGAGGAGAAUCUAAGAUGCAGAACCGAGGAAGAUAAAGAUGGAGCUGUGUAUGCAGAAGAGAUUAAGACUACGUGGAACCAGUGCCUGACAAUUCACAGAGCAUUUCCUGGGCCUCUUGUCCAGACAGAAGGGACUUAAGAACUGCCAGGCCAUAUCUCAGAUUCCAUAAAUUCUUGAUCCUUCAGAAGAAGGUAAAAAAAAAUUCUCUACUGAAAUCCUACAAAAAUGUAAUCCAGAGU
RNAcentral lists this long non-coding RNA (287 nucleotides) under Chloebia gouldiae (Gouldian finch). Its description in RNAcentral is "Erythrura gouldiae (Gouldian finch) lncRNA (ENSEGOG00005012709.1)". Lineage: Eukaryota; Metazoa; Chordata; Aves; Passeriformes; Passeridae. The record is from RNAcentral.